This 535-nucleotide ribosomal RNA is filed under the name Alteromonas sp. RNAcentral describes it as "bacterial SSU rRNA". It matches the Rfam family "Bacterial small subunit ribosomal RNA", at positions 380 to 907 of the family's 1533-position model. The record is from RNAcentral. Lineage: Bacteria; Pseudomonadati; Pseudomonadota; Gammaproteobacteria; Alteromonadales; Alteromonadaceae.
GACCUGAUGCAGCCAUGCCGCGUGUGUGAAGAAGGCCUUCGGGUUGUAAAGCACUUUCAGUUGUGAGGAAAAGUUAGUAGUUAAUACCUGCUAGCCGUGACGUUAACAACAGAAGAAGCACCGGCUAACUCCGUGCCAGCAGCCGCGGUAAUACGGAGGGUGCGAGCGUUAAUCGGAAUUACUGGGCGUAAAGCGCACGCAGGCGGUUUGUUAAGCUAGAUGUGAAAGCCCCGGGCUCAACCUGGGAUGGUCAUUUAGAACUGGCAGACUAGAGUCUUGGAGAGGGGAGUGGAAUUCCAGGUGUAGCGGUGAAAUGCGUAGAUAUCUGGAGGAACAUCAGUGGCGAAGGCGACUCCCUGGCCAAAGACUGACGCUCAUGUGCGAAAGUGUGGGUAGCGAACAGGAUUAGAUACCCUGGUAGUCCACACCGUAAACGCUGUCUACUAGCUGUGUGUGCCUUUAAGACGUGCGUAGCGAAGCUAACGCGCUAAGUAGACCGCCUGGGGAGUACGGCCGCAAGGUUAAAACUCAAAUG